RNAcentral lists this long non-coding RNA (996 nucleotides) under Mytilus galloprovincialis (Mediterranean mussel). Lineage: Eukaryota; Metazoa; Mollusca; Bivalvia; Mytilida; Mytilidae. The record is from RNAcentral.
UAUUAAUUAAAAUAAUAAACGAAAAUAAAUGCUAAAUCUUUCCUAUGAAUCAAAUACUGAACUAAUUUGUAUAUCGCGGCAAAAUCAAUAGUGUCCUUAUAUUCUUUUAUUGUUUUAACCUACAUAAUUCAUAAUUGCUCAAAUUAAAAUGAACAAGUGAAACUGCGAGCUACUGCUCACUGAUGAUACCCCCGCCGCAAGUGGAUAAUAUUAAUAGUGUAAAAAUAUGCAAGUGUUCGGUAAACAGGAAGUUAUUGAGUGAUGACUCUGAAAACACAUCACACGGUAUAGCUGACUUAUAUAAACCUUGAAACCAAAUUUCAGAAAUCCUUGUAUUGUUGUUCCUGAGAAAAUUGUGACGAAAAUUUUUAACUUGGCUAUCUUGGGUAAAAUCAUACAAGUGUUCGGUAAACAGGAAGUUGUCAAGUGAUGAAUCUGAAAACGCAUCACACGGUAUAGCUGACUUAUAUAAACCCUGAAACCAAAUUUCAGAAAUCCUUGUAUUGUAGUUCCUGAGAAAAUUGUGACGAAAAUUUUCAACUUGGCUAUCAUGUGUAAAAUCAUACAAGUGUUCGGUAAACAGGAAGUUGUCAAGUGAUGAAUCUGAAAACGCAUCACACGGUAUAGCUGACUUAUAUAAACCCUGAAACCAAAUUUCAGAAAUCCUUGUAUUGUAGUUCCUGAGAAAAAUGUGACGAAAAUUUUCAACUUGGCUAUCAUGUGUAAAAUCAUACAAGUGUUCGGUAAACAGGAAGUUGUCAAGUGAUGAAUCUGAAAACGCAUCACACAGUAUAGCUGACUUAUAUCAAGCCUGAAACCAAAUUUCAGAAAUCCUGGUAGUGUAGUUCCUGAGAAAAAUGUGACGAAAAAUAUUCAUGGGACGGACGGACUGACUGACAGACUGACGGACUGAUGGACUGAUGGACUGACGGACUGACGGAAGGACAGACAGAGGUAAAACAGUAUACCCCCCUUUUUUUCAAAGCGGGGGUAUAA